This is a long non-coding RNA of Telopea speciosissima, 153 nucleotides long. RefSeq lists it as uncharacterized. Lineage: Eukaryota; Viridiplantae; Streptophyta; Magnoliopsida; Proteales; Proteaceae. The record is from RefSeq and is a predicted model, not a curated record. The transcript is spliced from 3 exons.
UAUUAGAAUAGAAAUAAGUGAGAGGAUUAGUAGUGAACUUGCAAGGUGAAGACAAAAGGUAGGAUGCGAGUAAUAAAAAAAAGUAAAGGAGAACUCACAGUUGCAGAGCUUCGAGAAAUUUAUCGUGUUCUUCUUCAGUCCAGCUCUCCCUGG